Non-coding RNA from Acanthosepion pharaonis, 98 nucleotides. NCBI's taxonomy places the organism in Eukaryota, Metazoa, Mollusca, Cephalopoda, Sepiida, Sepiidae. The record is from the annotation of a GenBank genome assembly.
UUGAAACACUGGUUCUCAGUAUGAUCACCAAAGUUAAGCAAUGUUGAGCCUGAUCAGUACCUAGAUGGUGACAACUUGGGAGUACCAGAUGCUGUAAG